This 766-nucleotide long non-coding RNA is filed under the name Brassica napus (rape). RNAcentral describes it as "long non-coding RNA (BNAP_LNC001914)". Lineage: Eukaryota; Viridiplantae; Streptophyta; Magnoliopsida; Brassicales; Brassicaceae. The record is from RNAcentral.
AACUGGAUGAUUUUAAUUAAUAAAACGGGCCAAGCCCAGUACAAAGAAAAACACUAAAGCCCAAGACAAUUAAACGGGCACACCCAAUCCCCAAUUGGGCCCAGACCUUCGGCCCAACUUGGAAAACCCUAGUGACCUAAGGCAGAUUGCUUCGGCCGCUUUGCUUGGACACGUGUUAACAUCCUCGCCGACGAGGGUACACGUGUCCCGAAGCCAACGCGUCACCACCGCUUCCAUCGACACCGGAGAUCCAAACCAACGGAUCCCCCGGCCAACCGGAGCUUCAUCGCUCCGACUCUCUUACACCUCAAACCGUCUUUGGGAUCUAGUAUCGGGAAGGAUCAAUCGCCGCGGCGAGAUCACAUCCACCACCAUUAACCACAUAACACCCAAAGCAAAGUCGUCACAUGCAUCAUCGCCCUUUCCAACGGGGCACUUCACUGUCCUCCGACGAAAACACAAACCGCCGAAACAAAAAAACCAACCCAGAAAGAAAGAAAACACUAGAUCUUAAACUAAACCCUACAUACUAGGGGACGAAGCCGGCGACGCAAGGCUGAAGAAGCCUUCACCCCCCGGAGACUAAAACCGAUGACGUCGGAACUGAGAAAGCUUCCCCGCCACGGAGACAAAACCGGCGGCGACGGAUCUGUGAGAGCCUCCGCCUCCCGGAGAUAUUACACGACACACUGAGCUUUUUAACUGAAGGAACAAGAGCUCCGGCGGCGGCACGGACGCUCACGCGCCGGCCGACCACCGAGCCCGG